CCCUUAGAUGUCCUGGGCUGCACGCGCGCUACACUGGAAGUUACGGAUUGAGAUACUACCUUGUCCGAAAUGGUCCGGGUAAUCACCUAAAAGCUUGUCAUAAUUGGAAUGGAUUAUUGUAACUAGUAAUCCUGAACGAGGAAUUCCUAGUAAGUCCCAGUCAACAGCUGGUACUGAUUACGUCCCUGCCCUUUGUACACACCGCCCGUCGCUACUACUGAUUGGACGUUUAAGCAAGAUUUUUAAACACUGACAGUGUGUAGUUCACGCUAUACUACAGUGAGAAGAAGACGAUCGAGCUUACUUGUCUAGAGGAAGUAAAAGUCGUAACA
This 332-nucleotide ribosomal RNA is filed under the name uncultured eukaryote. RNAcentral's name for it is "partial 18S ribosomal RNA". It matches the Rfam family "Eukaryotic small subunit ribosomal RNA", at positions 1470 to 1796 of the family's 1831-position model. The record is from RNAcentral.